AUUCAAUUAUGAUCAAUCUGAAAAAUGACAUUUGUAUAACUACCAAGUAAUAGGCUGAGAAGUUUGAAGUUCAAAAAGGCUUCAUUCAACUCAAUCAACCAGCUACUUUUUCAAAAAUCCCUCGUGCCACCUUCUAUUAUGAAUAACGGCUUUUCAGUGGGUAAUAGGGUCAGAAGGCCUUAUUAAGGCCAAUAACGAAGAACAAAAACACUUUAAGACAUGUCAAACAGCUUCAUCGUCUACGUAAUUCACAGCUAAGUCCCAAUAAUGAGGAACACCAGCAUCCACAAAAACUUUACGGCCGGCUGCUUCAGUGAUGCAAUCAUGAACGCUGAACUUAUUGAAGCUGGGUUUCGCAACACUUCCUUGCCACACCAGAACACACUUAUUGACAGUCUUAUCAUCAUCUGAAUCUUCAUCUUCUUCUUUCUCUUUUGAAACUUCACUCCAAUUAAUACGCCUGAGCAUAAGUUUCCCAUACCUCUUAAUCGACUUGCUUCCACCCUCAACCACAACAAUACUAAUACCAUCGCAGAUCACAGCACAUCCAGUCAAACGGUUCUCUUGAGCAUUAACAUCAACUCUAAAGCGGGACUUCGGAUGUGAGAGAUCAUUUAUCUUGUAAAGAGAGACAAGAGUCUCCGGUGUAUUUGGGUCAUCAAACAGCUUCCUUUCUUUUUUCUCCCGCAGCUCAGCAGGAGUAAGCUUGCGUGCAAUGUUUCUAUCUAUGUGAGCCUGUUCACGCUCAGCAGCUGCACUACGGACUUCUUUUUCAAGCCGAGUAGGAUCUUGAGUUGCUUCAGUGCCAAGUACUUUCAUUAAAUUGCUAAUCUUGACCUUUGGUUUUGGCGGUUCUAUGACACCCUGUCUAAUCAUCUCCUGUCGAUCCUUCUCCUUAGCUAUUCGUCUUUGUGUCCGGAGUUUCUUCUGUUCUUGCUUAGUUAGUUUGAGUGGUUGAGGUGGUGGAGGGGCAGGCUCAGCAGGUGGUUCAAUUGGUCGAGGAUGCUCCACAUAAAUAGUC
Molecule: small RNA, 1021 nt
Filed under: Vigna angularis var. angularis
Lineage: Eukaryota; Viridiplantae; Streptophyta; Magnoliopsida; Fabales; Fabaceae
Description: Non-protein coding transcript
Source: RNAcentral